RNAcentral lists this ribosomal RNA (107 nucleotides) under Rattus norvegicus (Norway rat). The record is from RNAcentral. Lineage: Eukaryota; Metazoa; Chordata; Mammalia; Rodentia; Muridae.
GUCUACAGCCAUACACCUUGAACGCGCCUGAUCUCAGAAGCUAAGCAGGAUCGGGCCUGUUAGUACUUGGAUGGGAGACCACCUGGGGAUAUCCAGUGCUAUAGGUU